CUCCUGGGGGGGGCGGGAUCGGCGUCGCCGUGCCUCGAGGGCGCGGCCCCCGCCGCCGAUCGGGAUUCGGCCCAGGAGG
Molecule: transfer RNA, 79 nt
Filed under: Aquisphaera giovannonii
Lineage: Bacteria; Pseudomonadati; Planctomycetota; Planctomycetia; Isosphaerales; Isosphaeraceae
Description: tRNA-Ser
Source: RNAcentral